Molecule: transfer RNA, 135 nt
Filed under: Penicillium occitanis (nom. inval.)
Lineage: Eukaryota; Fungi; Ascomycota; Eurotiomycetes; Eurotiales; Aspergillaceae
Description: Penicillium occitanis tRNA
Rfam family: tRNA
About the family: Transfer RNA (tRNA) molecules are approximately 80 nucleotides in length. Their secondary structure includes four short double-helical elements and three loops (D, anti-codon, and T loops). Further hydrogen bonds mediate the characteristic L-shaped molecular structure. tRNAs have two regions of fundamental functional importance: the anti-codon, which is responsible for specific mRNA codon recognition, and the 3' end, to which the tRNAs corresponding amino acid is attached (by aminoacyl-tRNA synthetases). tRNAs cope with the degeneracy of the genetic code in two manners: having more than one tRNA (with a specific anti-codon) for a particular amino acid; and 'wobble' base-pairing, i.e. permitting non-standard base-pairing at the 3rd anti-codon position.
Source: Rfam by way of RNAcentral
GCCCGGAUGGUUUAGGGGUAUAAUUCUCGCUUUGGGUUGCGAUAAAUGCUUGUUCUGAGUUCAUCGAAGUGCAUGCAUCCGUCCUGUAUAAGGCCUAAUUGCGAGAGGUCCUGGGUUCGAUUCCCAGUUCGGGCC